GACGAACGCUGGCGGCGUGCUUAACACAUGCAAGUCGAACGGAAAGGCCCUGCUUGCAGGGUACUCGAGUGGCGAACGGGUGAGUAACACGUGGGUGAUCUGCCCUGCACUUCGGGAUAAGCCUGGGAAACUGGGUCUAAUACCGGAUAGGAGCCAUUUUUAGUGUGAUGGUUGGAAAGUUUUUUCGGUGUAGGAUGAGCUCGCGGCCUAUCAGCUUGUUGGUGGGGUAAUGGCCUACCAAGGCGGCGACGGGUAGCCGGCCUGAGAGGGUGGACGGCCACAUUGGGACUGAGAUACGGCCCAGACGCCUACGGGAGGCAGCAGUGGGGAAGAUUGCACAAUGGGCGCAAGCCUGAUGCAGCGACGCCGCGUGGGGGAUGACGGCCUUCGGGUUGUAAACUCCUUUCGCUAGGGACGAAGCUUUUUGUGACGGUACCUAGAGAAGAAGCACCGGCUAACUACGUG
This 465-nucleotide ribosomal RNA is filed under the name uncultured bacterium. RNAcentral's name for it is "partial 16S ribosomal RNA". It matches the Rfam family "Bacterial small subunit ribosomal RNA", at positions 28 to 507 of the family's 1533-position model. The record is from RNAcentral.